CGUUGGCACGUGCCUGCGUGCGUGUGCACGUAGUCGUUGAUGGAGGCAGGAAGCGAGAAGGAAGCGGGAAGGUGGAAGAGAUCGGAAGAGUUUCAAACAAGGCCCGAUUCUCCUGAGGUCAGCUCGAUUUGCUCUCUAAUCCUGGGCGACGCAGGGUUCAAGGAUCUUCUGAAUCUCAUCCCAUUGUAGGAACUCCUGCUGUGCUCAGAGAAUGUUGUUCAGAAGGGGAGACAGGCAAUAAAUAUAAGAUGAAGUUAUGAGGAGAGAAGCUAUUCAUAGCUAAAACUCUAGCUAAAAUGGCUAUUAUUUAUUGCACGGAACUGAAAUUGGAUGAAGUCGAGAAACCCAACGUACAAACCCAGAAGCUGAGAUACUACACAAGCGGACGUAUUUCAAGGACAAAUCCAAAGAUCCGUGUGCAAGUUGGCCCUGGUUCUAGCUUUUCGGUUCAUGAGAACUGGUGCGAGGAUCGACAAAGAACCCAGCUUUGGUCUGAAAGGAGCAGGCAGGUGAACAAAAUAAUCAAACUUGGUCUGUGGCUAGAAUGUACACCAUCGUCUCUUCCUGAGUCUUCAGCUUGCUGACUGCAGAUCUUGGGACUUGCCAGCCUUAAUAAUCACCCUGCUGUCAGGCUGUGAACAGUGUUUUGGAGAGGCCCAUGUGGCAAAGAACUGAUGUCUCAGGUCAACAGCCAGUGAAAACCUGAGGUCCACCAACAGCCAUGUGAGUGAGUGUGGGAUUGGAGCUUCCCUAGUCAAGCCUUGAAACGACAGCGGCCUCUGACCUCCUGAUGGAAGCCUUGUGAAAGACUCAGUGCCAGAGAACCCAACUCAGCUGUGCCUGGAUUACUGACUCACAGAAGGUAGGAGAUAAUAAACAUUUGCUGUUUUAAGCCUCUACUUUGGGUUAAUUUGUUAUGCAGCAACAGACCCUAACACGAGUACUGAAUCAGAAAUCUGUGCAAGGGGGGCCCUGGAAUGUGUAUUUUAACAUGUUCUUCGGUUGAUUCUCAUGCCUAGUAGUUUGAGAAGCUCUGCCGUGACUAAGUGAACAGCUAGGGCGGAGGGGAGGGGCUUUGGCACCCAGGCGGGCUGGGUUCAAAUCCUAGCUCAACUCCUUCUAGUUCUAAGAGCUAUGUGAGUUACGUAACCUCUCUGUGCCUCCAUUUCUUCUGUGAGGUAUUGCUAACAAUAGUACAUAUCUUUAGGUAAUAUAAAGAGGAUUAGUUGAGUUAAUAUACUUAAAGCACUUAGCAUAUUGCCUGGCAACAGUGAGUACAAUAAAUUUAGUGAAGAGUCAUUCAUUCAACAAACAUGUAAAGGGUCAGGCAUAAUUCUAGAUGCUGGUUACAAAGAUAAUAAGACAUGGUCCGCUUCUUCUGGGACUAUUCUCCUAUAAGGGAGAUAGGCAUAUAGAAGAAUACACACAAUAAUGGCUUAAAGAUGCUGGGAUUGACUUCUGGAGCCCAGAAAUGUCAGUUCUAUCGAGGAUGAAAGAAUUAAGGAGAGGCUUAAUAAGUGGGGUGGUUGGAGGGUUGGAAAAGAAUAGAGGAUAUGGGCUUGAUUCUCCCUCAGUGCCUCGCCUCAGUUUUUCUGAGCUUCCUUUGUUAUGUGGAAAACGAACAAACCUAUCGUCACAAACAGGUUCCUUUGGCAGAAGCUGCUUGAAUGCAGGACCUGGGUGUCUUAUUCACAAAAUGCCAGCCACUUGGUCCCGUUUCCUAUGCCUAGAUCAGGCAGCCUAGUUUAUCUGACCUUCAGAUGUUGGCAUCUGCUCUUUUGUCCCUCUGAAGGCUUCUCUUCCCACUCCCUCCCUCUGCUCCCCUCAGUCCUUGCAAGUCCUUCCUGUAUGGGCUUAAAUGCCUCCUCAAGGAAGUCUUCCUGAGUACUCUGUUUAAAUAACGCCUCCAUGUCAGGGCACUGUUUGUUUCCUGAGUAGCACAAGAGUUUGGCAUUAACUUAAUUAGUUUAUUUUCCUGCUCACCAUCCUCUCCCUGAGUAGACUUUACUCUAAGGGCUAACAUGUGGUCCAUUUACCUCACAUGGUGCAUGCCCAGUGCCCAGUGCCCUCCCUGGGACAUAGUAGGCAUUCAAUAAAUAUUUAUUGAGUGGUUAAAUGAAUGAAUGAACAUGUCCUUUCCCAGCCACUGGAACACUUCAGCAUGAUUUGUUGAAAUGUCAAUCUUAAUCAUGAAGGACAUUAAUUCAAAUUCUGGGAGACAAAACUGCUGAAAAAACAGAAUGUGAAACCGAGUCACUUUUACUCUAAGGGGCUGCUGGGGAAGUGGUAAGGGAUGGGGGGGGAGGCCAUUAUGCCAUUUAACAUUUACUAAGUCCCUCCUCCUAGGUGCUGGGUACUGAAUUAAGUGUUUUAUAUACAUUAUUUCACGUACAUCUGAAGUAGGUAUUAUCAUUGUGUAUGUGUGUUGGGGGGAUGAUGGGGAAACUGACGCUUACACCCCUUAAUGAAUUUGCCUGACGUCACAGCCAGUCCGGGGUAGAACUGUAACUGGAUCCAGGUGGUCAGGCUCCAAAGCUCUUUUGUUCGACAACUCUACUCCCCUGCCUCCAACGGAAUGCAGCUCAUUAAGUAAAUAUCCUGCACAAAUAGAAGUGUAUACAGUUGGACGGCUGUAAGACUGACACUGUAACACCCGACCAGACAGGGAAAUAUCAGAAAGGUUCUCCAGGUCACAGCCAGGAGGCAGUAUCCACGAUUACGGGAACUGGGCUGUGGGCCAAGCGGGAGCUCAUUCUCAGGGGCCCCUUCCCCCCAUCCAGGGCUCCUCCAUGUGGUCAGGACUACAGGAGAGUCCCACGCCCUCCAGGUGAUGUAAGUGGUCUCCCCCUAAAGCAGAUCUGGUGGGCUCUUAAACUCGAAAGGAUUAGCAUUCUCCUUGUCAAAGUAGCAUGGAAUUUAUAGCAAUCGGCAGUUCCUGUUGCAAAGAGUUCCAAGAUCAGACAAGCCAAGGGGGGGAGGGGUGGGUAACAGGUCAGAUGUGAGUUUAGAUGGAGAGGUGGUCAGGGGUGGGGUCGGGACAAGAACUAGUGGGGAGGAGACAUUUUACAAAGCAGUGAGGCCUGUCUGCAUUGUGCCUGGAGAAGUCUUUGGGGUUUCCCAUUAGCAACAAGUCCCCACAGGCCUAAAAGAACAAGAAAGGAACCAGGCUUCUCCAGGCUUAAAUAAGACUAAAGUCUGCAUUUUUUCCCCGCAUGGUAAGGAAUUAUUGGGCCAGCAGCUAAGGUAGGCUAACUCAGGCUAAAAUCCCCAGUAGGAAAGAACAAUUAGAGAAAUCAUGAAUUAUGGUUCUGUGGGCAAUUCCCUUCUCAAGGCUUACUUAAAGCCAGAAGGUAUAUUUUUAGUCUGCUUUUGUGACACUUAAAUAUUCAGAUUUUGAGAGAGACAAAGCGUAUACUGAAAUUUACAUAUAAAUGUACCAAAAUAUGUUUAAAUACUAGUCUUCUUCAUAACUUUCUCUUAUAGUUCCUGAGCUAUUUGCACUUCCACAAUGUGAUCAGUCUCUAGGAAAUGAAGACUAUAGGAGUGUAAGGAGACAGAAAUUGAGCUAGAAUUACUGGGAGGUUGAUGUCCUAGGGUGGACCUAAAGUUAGGCACAGUUUAUAAUUAGAGGAAUGGUUUUGUUUGUUUAGAUUGUAAGUUUUCAGAAUGAGUCUCCAGACAUGCAGAAUUUUGUAGACGUUAUGUGUGCGUUUUUACUUCUUUAGGAAGGCUAGUCUCCGUGAAAUUGACCUGAAGACUUCCCCUUAAGACUUCAAGAAUCUAGGGUUCAUAGGAAUAGAAGAAAUUUGAUCAGACAAGCUUGGAGCAUCCAAGGGAGCAUUCAAUGUUUGUUUGUUUGUUUGAGAGAGAGAGAGAGAGAGAGAGAGAGAGAGAGAGAGCGCACGCACACAAAUGCAAUUAGGGAAAGGACAGAGAAUCAGGGGGAGAGAGAAUCCCAAGCAGGCUCUGCACUGUCAGUGCAGAGCCUAACACAGGGCUUGAACCCACAGACUGUCAGAUCUAGGCCCGAGCUGAAAUCAAGAGUCAGAUGCUCAACAAACUAAGCCACCUAGGCGCCCUCUACAACGCACCAUUCAAAUAACUACCUCUAGAGUCCAUCUUAUAUACUGUGCUAAUAACAAGUUAUCCCAUGGGGUGCCUGAGUGACUGACGUUUGCAGAGCCUGCUUGGGAUUCUCUCUCUCUCCUUCUCCCUCUGCCCCUUCCCCACUUGCAUACUCUCGCUCUCUCUCUGAAAACAAAAUAUACUAUACAUGGUUCACUAACUUUUAAUUUUUGACAAUCAUGAAGUGCACUUAAAUCAUUGAAAUAGGACUAGACAUGAUAUAACUUCCCUCCAGCAAGUUGGCAGUUAUGAUCCUACGGGGUCUCACAGUUACCAUUGUGAGCAUCAGUAAUUAUUGUUCCAUAGUAACCUAGAACGGUCAGGUGAUUAAAAAAAUUUUUGCUGACAGAAGAUAAGACAAACUUGGUUCUAUUGGGUAUCAGAAGUUAUAAAAAGAAAAAAAGGGGGGGGGGUCAAGGGAGCAUUGACAGACCACUGCAUAAUAAAAUGUGUUACAGUCUAAUGGGAAACAUUGGCUCGAAUAGUGGGUGACUUCCUGAUUUCAUCACCUUCCAUAGUUGAUGUUUCCAUCUCUUAUUUUCUCUCUCUCACCCAUCUAUUAAACAGAUCUACACACGUUAAUAGGGACCCACACAAAUUUAGCCACUUCUUCCUCUAGUAAAUUAUACCAUAGAGCCAGAUUUAUUGUGAUCAUUUCUUCCCAUGUCUUGUUUUACGCCUGAGGUUUUACGCCUGAGGUUUGAGUCUGUAGAAGGCCAUGCAUUGCUGAAGGGAUGAAAGUCUUUGGAGAAAACAGAAGUUCCCAAGACAAGCUAGCAGGGCAGAAUGUUUGUGUCUUCCACCAGGGGUCAGUAAAACUUUUAUAAGACUCCUAGGAUGGCAUCCAGACUUCCAUAAGGGCAACAUCUUGGUCACUCUUUGUCCCUCAGAAAGCAUUCACCAACAAGGAGAUGUCCUGUCACUGGGAAUAGCAGUUCCAAGUUGUUAAACACGUACAACAAGCACAGUUAAAUAUAAAUAUAUAUGGCUUGGACUGUAUCAACUCUAUGUUAACAUCAUAGAGAGAACAUCAGCAUAUCAAGCACUGGAGUUUUAUUCUCAUAAAAAGAAUUCUCAAUUUAAACAUGCAGUUUUGAUAUAUACUAAGGCAAGCUAUCUUGCCUAAUUAGGAAUCACAGGCUGAAUGUCCAGUGACUAGACCUUAUGGCUCAACUCUGAUUGUCAUUAUUUCUGGGUCAUGAACACAAGACUUGAAGUUCUCCUUCCCUUCGUGGUUUGCUAUCCUGGUUUGCAAUAGUUGUUAUGCUAAGGAAUAAAGACUUUCGAAAAUAUGCACUAGAUACACUAACUUGCCUUCCUGCUUCCACUUUUGCCAUACUGUCAGCUAGAGGGAGCUGUGAAAAACGGAAGUCACAUCCUAUUACUCUUCUGCUGAAAGUCUCCAAGGCCUACCCACCCCACAGAAAAUAAAAUGCCAACACUUCACCCACCUGCGGUGCCAGGGCAUGCUCAAUUUCCUGCAACUUCUCUGAUGUUAUCUCGUGACCCUCUUCCCUGCACUCAGCACACUCCCAAAACAGUAGCCUUUCUGCUGAUGCUCUCAGUGGUUCUCAAAGUGUGGUCCCUGGAUCUGCAGCAUCAGCAUCACCUGCGAAGCUGUUGGAAAGGCACAUUCUUGGGUCAUACCCCCAGAUCUACUGGAUCAGAAAACUCUGGGGGCAGGCCCCAUCCAUCUAUGUUUUCACCAACCCAUCUGGUGAUUCUGGUGACUGCUGAAGUUUGAAAACCACCUCUAAUUUUUCAAACGCACUUCUGCCUCCAGACCUUUGUACCAGCCAGACACUUUCCCUGGUACACUCUUCCCAGGGCUCUUUCCUCAUCAACGAGAUGUCAGCUGAAAUGCUAGCUCCUCAGAGAGACUUUCACCAGCCACCUACUUAAAGCUGACUUAUAGAAAGGAGAUAAAUUAGACUCUCUACAGGGAGCUGCAGUAUUGUGGCAGAGCCCAGGGAUGGAGUCAGACGAUGAAUGUCAAAUUCUAAAUUCUCCACUUGAAAAUCACCUGACCUUGGGUAAGUCAUCUAACUAGAUUAGGUGAUUUUGCCUCCUAUGGGCAUUUGGCCAUGUCUAGAGGUGUUUUUGGUGUCAACCAGAGAUCCAGGUGGGGCUGGGACUGCUAUUGGUACCUGUUUGGUAGAGGAUAGGAUGUGGCUAAACAUCCUGCAGUGCACAGGCCAGCCCCCUGCAACAGAGAAUCCUGCCUGUGUCUGGCACCAUGCCUUAUACAGAAUAGAUGCUCAAAAAUAUUUGUUCAGUGAAGGAAGGAAGGGAGGGAGGAAAAGAAGGAAGGAAGGAAGGA
Molecule: long non-coding RNA, 6445 nt
Organism: Felis catus (domestic cat)
Lineage: Eukaryota; Metazoa; Chordata; Mammalia; Carnivora; Felidae
Exons: 7
Source: RefSeq, a predicted model, not a curated record